CAACCCUCAAGCCCCCUCGGGCUUGGUGUUGGGGACCGGCGAGCUCCUCUUGCUCCGCCGCCCCCGAAAUGCAGUGGCGACCUCGCCGCAGCCUCCCCUGCGUAGUAGCACAACCUCGCACCGGAGCGCGGAGACGGUCACGCCGUAAAACGCCCAACUUUCUUUAGAG
This 169-nucleotide unclassified non-coding RNA is filed under the name uncultured Tolypocladium. Its description in RNAcentral is "sequence contains ITS2". Lineage: Eukaryota; Fungi; Ascomycota; Sordariomycetes; Hypocreales; Clavicipitaceae. The record is from RNAcentral.